CACGUAGGGUGCAAGCGUUGUCCGGAAUUAUUGGGCGUAAAGGGCUCGUAGGCGGUCCGUCACGUCGGGAGUGAAAACUCGUGGCUCAACCCCGAGCCUGCUUCCGAUACGGGCGGACUAGAGGUAGGUAGGGGAGAACGGAAUUCCUGGUGUAGCGGUGGAAUGCGCAGAUAUCAGGAGGAACACCGGUGGCGAAGGCGGUUCUCUGGGCCUUACCUGACGCUGAGGAGCGAAAGUGUGGGGAGCGAACAGG
Molecule: ribosomal RNA, 253 nt
Filed under: uncultured bacterium
Lineage: Bacteria
Description: partial 16S ribosomal RNA
Rfam family: Bacterial small subunit ribosomal RNA
Source: RNAcentral